GACGAACGUUGGCGGCGUGCUUAACACAUGCAAGUCGAACGGAAAGGCCCUGCUUUUGUGGGGUGCUCGAGUGGCGAACGGGUGAGUAACACGUGAGUAACCUGCCCUUGACUUUGGGAUAACUUCAGGAAACUGGGGCUAAUACCGGAUAGGAGCUCCUGCUGCAUGGUGGGGGUUGGAAAGUUUCGGCGGUUGGGGAUGGACUCGCGGCUUAUCAGCUUGUUGGUGGGGUAGUGGCUUACCAAGGCUUUGACGGGUAGCCGGCCUGAGAGGGUGACCGGCCACAUUGGGACUGAGAUACGGCCCAGACUCCUACGGGAGGCAGCAGUGGGGAAUAUUGCACAAUGGGCGGAAGCCUGAUGCAGCAACGCCGCGUACGGGAUGACGGCCUUCGGGUUGUAAACCGCUUUCGCCUGUGACGAAGCGUGAGUGACGGUAAUGGGUAAAGAAGCACCGGCUAACUACGUG
RNAcentral lists this ribosomal RNA (468 nucleotides) under uncultured bacterium. Its description in RNAcentral is "partial 16S ribosomal RNA". It matches the Rfam family "Bacterial small subunit ribosomal RNA", at positions 28 to 507 of the family's 1533-position model. The record is from RNAcentral.